Molecule: unclassified non-coding RNA, 382 nt
Filed under: soil metagenome
Description: partial contains 5.8S ribosomal RNA, internal transcribed spacer 2, and large subunit ribosomal RNA
Rfam family: 5.8S ribosomal RNA (bases 1-120)
Source: RNAcentral
GAUGAAGAACGUAGCGAAAUGCGAUACGUAAUGUGAAUUGCAGAAUUCAGUGAAUCAUCGAAUCUUUGAACGCACCUUGCACCCUUUGGCAUUCCGAAGGGUAUGCUCGUUUGAGUGUCAUUGUACUCUCACACUUCUGAUCCUUUGGAUUGGGAGCGGUGGACUUGGGUGUUGCUGCUUUACUGUGGCUCACCUCAAAUGCAUUCGUGCAACUCUUGGUUGGACAUAGUACGGCGUGAUAAGUAUCUUCGCCGGCACCUCGCAAGAGGGUGGCUGAUCAGGAGCUCUGUGCUUUCCAACUGUCUUCAGACAACAACUGACAACUUGACCUCAAAUCGAGUAGGACCACCCGCUGAACUUAAGCAUAUCAAUAAGCGGAGGA